GCUCAUUCCUGAACAUAUACUAAAAUUGGGACAAUACGGAGAAGAUCAGCAUGGCCCUUGCCAAAGAUGACACGCAAAUUCAUGAAGCGUUCAUUUUUUGG
Molecule: small nuclear RNA, 101 nt
Filed under: Ancylostoma duodenale
Lineage: Eukaryota; Metazoa; Nematoda; Chromadorea; Rhabditida; Ancylostomatidae
Source: RNAcentral